AAAUAAACAAGAAGAUGCUGAUAAUAGUAAUGGACUUAUGCAAUAAAACAGCUAUGCUGAUCACUCAAGCAUUGGUGAGACAUAAAUUGGAGUUCAUACCCUGUGGGGAAAGUAACAACCUCCAAUGUUAAAAAUAAACAAGAAGAUGCUGAUAAUAGUAAUGGACUUAUGCAAUAAAGCAGCCAUGCAGAUCACUCAAGGAUUG
Molecule: long non-coding RNA, 205 nt
Organism: Rhopalosiphum maidis (corn leaf aphid)
Lineage: Eukaryota; Metazoa; Arthropoda; Insecta; Hemiptera; Aphididae
Exons: 3
Source: RefSeq, a predicted model, not a curated record